This 432-nucleotide ribosomal RNA is filed under the name uncultured bacterium. Its description in RNAcentral is "partial 16S ribosomal RNA". It matches the Rfam family "Bacterial small subunit ribosomal RNA", at positions 29 to 506 of the family's 1533-position model. The record is from RNAcentral.
AACGAACGCUGGCGGCAUGCCUAACACAUGCAAGUCGAACGAGACCUUCGGGUCUAGUGGCGCACGGGUGCGUAACGCGUGGGAACCUGCCCUUAGGUUCGGAAUAACUCCCCGAAAGGGGUGCUAAUACCGGAUAAUGUCUUCGGACCAAAGAUUUAUCGCCUUUGGAUGGGCCCGCGUUGGUUUAGCUAGUUGGUAGGGUAAAAGCCUACCAAGGCGACGAUCCAUAGCUGGUCUGAGAGGAUGAUCAGCCACACUGGGACUGAGACACGGCCCAGACUCCUACGGGAGGGAGCAGUGGGGAAUAUUGGACAAUGGGCGAAAGCCUGAUCCAGCAAUGCCGCGUGAGUGAUGAAGGCCUUAGGGUUGUAAAGCUCUUUUACCCGGGAUGAUAAUGACAGUACCGGGAGAAUAAGCUCCGGCUAACUCCGU